GGGUUGUGAGGUUAAGCGACUAAGCGUACACGGUGGAUGCCCUGGCAGUCAGAGGCGAUGAAGGGCGUGCUAAUCUGCGAUAAGCGCCGGUAAGGUGAUAUGAACCGUUAUAACCGGCGAUACCCGAAUGGGGAAACCCAGUGUGAUUCGUCACACUAUCAUUAACUGAAUCCAUAGGUUAAUGAGGCGAACCGGGGGAACUGAAACAUCUAAGUACCCCGAGGAAAAGAAAUCAACCGAGAUUCCCCCAGUAGCGGCGAGCGAACGGGGAGGAGCCCAGAGCCUGAAUCAGCAUGUGUGUUAGUGGAAGCGUCUGGAAAGGCGCGCGAUACAGGGUGACAGCCCCGUACACAAAAGCGCAUGUGCUGUGAGCUCGAUGAGUAGGGCGGGACACGUGGUAUCCUGUCUGAAUAUGGGGGGACCAUCCUCCAAGGCUAAAUACUCCUGACUGACCGAUAGUGAACCAGUACCGUGAGGGAAAGGCGAAAAGAACCCCGGCGAGGGGAGUGAAAAAGAACCUGAAACCGUGUACGUACAAGCAGUGGGAGCACAGGUUUACCUGUGUGACUGCGUACCUUUUGUAUAAUGGGUCAGCGACUUAUAUUCUGUAGCAAGGUUAACCGUAUAGGGGAGCCGUAGGGAAACCGAGUCUUAACCGGGCGUUAAGUUGCAGGGUAUAGACCCGAAACCCGGUGAUCUAGCCAUGGGCAGGUUGAAGGUUGGGUAACACUAACUGGAGGACCGAACCGACUAAUGUUGAAAAAUUAGCGGAUGACCUGUGGCUGGGGGUGAAAGGCCAAUCAAACCGGGAGAUAGCUGGUUCUCCCCGAAAGCUAUUUAGGUAGCGCCUCGUGAAUUCAUCUCCGGGGGUAGAGCACUGUUUCGGCUAGGGGGCCAUCCCGGCUUACCAACCCGAUGCAAACUGCGAAUACCGGAGAAUGUUAUCACGGGAGACACACGGCGGGUGCUAACGUCCGUCGUGAAGAGGGAAACAACCCAGACCGCCAGCUAAGGUCCCAAAGUCAUGGUUAAGUGGGAAACGAUGUGGGAAGGCCCAGACAGCCAGGAUGUUGGCUUAGAAGCAGCCAUCAUUUAAAGAAAGCGUAAUAGCUCACUGGUCGAGUCGGCCUGCGCGGAAGAUGUAACGGGGCUAAACCAUGCACCGAAGCUGCGGCAGCGAACGUAUCACCCAAGACAACUUUACGGAGUUGACGAUUGACGGAGCGAAGCGACGUCAAAGCGUUCAUUAAAGUCGAGUUGGCUUAGGGAUACGUUCGUUGGGUAGGGGAGCGUUCUGUAAGCCUGUGAAGGUGUGUCGUGAGGCAUGCUGGAGGUAUCAGAAGUGCGAAUGCUGACAUAAGUAACGAUAAAGCGGGUGAAAAGCCCGCUCGCCGGAAGACCAAGGGUUCCUGUCCAACGUUAAUCGGGGCAGGGUGAGUCGACCCCUAAGGCGAGGCCGAAAGGCGUAGUCGAUGGGAAACGGGUUAAUAUUCCCGUACUUGGUGUUACUGCGAAGGGGGGACGGAGAAGGCUAUGUUGGCCGGGCGACGGUUGUCCCGGUUUAAGCGUGUAGGUGUGUGUUCCAGGUAAAUCCGGUUCACUUUAACACUGAGGCGUGACGACGAGGCACUACGGUGCUGAAGCAACAAAUGCCCUGCUUCCAGGAAAAGCCUCUAAGCAUCAGGUAACACGAAAUCGUACCCCAAACCGACACAGGUGGUCAGGUAGAGAAUACCAAGGCGCUUGAGAGAACUCGGGUGAAGGAACUAGGCAAAAUGGUGCCGUAACUUCGGGAGAAGGCACGCUGACACGUAGGUGAAGUGAUUUACUCAUGGAGCUGAAGUCAGUCGAAGAUACCAGCUGGCUGCAACUGUUUAUUAAAAACACAGCACUGUGCAAACACGAAAGUGGACGUAUACGGUGUGACGCCUGCCCGGUGCCGGAAGGUUAAUUGAUGGGGUCAGCGCAAGCGAAGCUCCUGAUCGAAGCCCCGGUAAACGGCGGCCGUAACUAUAACGGUCCUAAGGUAGCGAAAUUCCUUGUCGGGUAAGUUCCGACCUGCACGAAUGGCGUAAUGAUGGCCAGGCUGUCUCCACCCGAGACUCAGUGAAAUUGAACUCGCUGUGAAGAUGCAGUGUACCCGCGGCAAGACGGAAAGACCCCGUGAACCUUUACUAUAGCUUGACACUGAACAUUGAGCCUUGAUGUGUAGGAUAGGUGGGAGGCUUUGAAGUGUGGACGCCAGUCUGCAUGGAGCCGACCUUGAAAUACCACCCUUUAAUGUUUGAUGUUCUAACGUGGACCCGUAAUCCGGGUUGCGGACAGUGUCUGGUGGGUAGUUUGACUGGGGCGGUCUCCUCCUAAAGAGUAACGGAGGAGCACGAAGGUUGGCUAAUCCUGGUCGGACAUCAGGAGGUUAGUGCAAUGGCAUAAGCCAGCUUGACUGCGAGCGUGACGGCGCGAGCAGGUGCGAAAGCAGGUCAUAGUGAUCCGGUGGUUCUGAAUGGAAGGGCCAUCGCUCAACGGAUAAAAGGUACUCCGGGGAUAACAGGCUGAUACCGCCCAAGAGUUCAUAUCGACGGCGGUGUUUGGCACCUCGAUGUCGGCUCAUCACAUCCUGGGGCUGAAGUAGGUCCCAAGGGUAUGGCUGUUCGCCAUUUAAAGUGGUACGCGAGCUGGGUUUAGAACGUCGUGAGACAGUUCGGUCCCUAUCUGCCGUGGGCGCUGGAGAACUGAGGGGGGCUGCUCCUAGUACGAGAGGACCGGAGUGGACGCAUCACUGGUGUUCGGGUUGUCAUGCCAAUGGCACUGCCCGGUAGCUAAAUGCGGAAGAGAUAAGUGCUGAAAGCAUCUAAGCACGAAACUUGCCCCGAGAUGAGUUCUCCCUGAGACUUAGAGUCUCCUGAAGGAACGUUGAAGACGACGACGUUGAUAGGCCGGGUGUGUAAGCGCAGCGAUGCGUUGAGCUAACCGGUACUAAUGAACCGUGAGGCUUAACCUUACAACGCCGAAG
Molecule: ribosomal RNA, 3013 nt
Filed under: Salmonella enterica subsp. enterica serovar Typhimurium
Lineage: Bacteria; Pseudomonadati; Pseudomonadota; Gammaproteobacteria; Enterobacterales; Enterobacteriaceae
Also listed under: 1 other name
Description: 23S ribosomal RNA
Rfam family: Bacterial large subunit ribosomal RNA
Source: RNAcentral